UACGGGAGGCAGCAGUAGGGAAUAUUGCACAAUGGGGGAAACCCUGAUGCAGCGACGCCGCGUGAGUGAUGAAGUAUUUCGGUACGUAAAACUCUAUCAGCAGGGAAGAUAAUGACGGUACCUGACUAAGAAGCCCCGGCUAACUACGUGCCAGCAGCCGCGGUAAU
Molecule: ribosomal RNA, 167 nt
Filed under: uncultured rumen bacterium
Lineage: Bacteria
Description: partial 16S ribosomal RNA
Rfam family: Bacterial small subunit ribosomal RNA
Source: RNAcentral